Long non-coding RNA from Cercocebus atys (sooty mangabey), 762 nucleotides. RefSeq lists it as uncharacterized. The record is from RefSeq and is a predicted model, not a curated record. The transcript is spliced from 3 exons. Lineage: Eukaryota; Metazoa; Chordata; Mammalia; Primates; Cercopithecidae.
AGGGACUGGGGAGCUGCAGGCAGGGCCCGGGUUUGCUCUGGAGGGCAUGAGUGACCCAGGGCCGCGGGCUGGGUUAGUGAAAUGGCUCCUUUACCACGCGUCAACAUUUGGUAGAUCUAAUUUGAAAUGAGUUCCAGAGCGGGGAAAGGGCUGAGGCAAGGCUAUGACAGAACACAAGGCAAACAGCUGAAAACUGUAGUCAAAAGGCAGGCAAGCUGAGAAGGUGAUACAAAGAAGCCCAUCCGAAGUCGGAAGCAACAGGGAGGCUUUUAGGGAGGUCCUGGGUGCUUCAGAACACGGGCCUUCAGCUGAGACCUCUCCAGCUGCCUGGACACUUGCCGCUGGCAGGCCGAGUUGCUCAACACCCCGAAUUAACUUGGGACUGGAGUCCCCAUGUGAGGCCACGACAGCAGGACCUCUCAGAAGGGCCUGGAGGGGAAACACCCCGCAGCUCCAGCCUGUAAAGGUGCACGGGGAUGGCCACACACAGAGGAUUCCCUUGGCAGGAGGGAAAACCAUUAGCCCUAUGCUGUUUCUAGAUAGCGGAGAAUAAAGAGAAAUAAGAAGCAUUUUUCAUGUGUUCCUACAGAAGUAAUGGUUAUUUAGCAGUGCGUGACAGUGUGUUAUCAAGUGCAGUUAAUGACUCAGGGCCUGCUGUUGGUCAGGCUCAGGCCGAGGACAGCACAUAACACCUCUUGGAAGCUCCUCACUCUUCUGUUGCUCGAGUGGACGAUCGUCAGUUCAUGCCUUAAGAAAUCAGCU